This 1408-nucleotide ribosomal RNA is filed under the name uncultured bacterium. Its description in RNAcentral is "16S ribosomal RNA". It matches the Rfam family "Bacterial small subunit ribosomal RNA". The record is from RNAcentral.
GAACGCUAGCGGCAAGCUUAACACAUGCAAGUCGAGGGGCAGCGGGGAGGAAGCUUGCUUUCUCCGCCGGCGACCGGCGCACGGGUGAGUAACACGUAUGCAACCUGCCCCUGUCAGGGGGACAACCCGCCGAAAGGCGGGCUAAACCCGCGUACAUGCCACCGGGGCAUCCCGGAGGCAGGAAAGGCUUCGGCCGGACAGGGAUGGGCAUGCGGCGCAUUAGGCAGUAGGCGGGGUAACGGCCCACCUAACCGACGAUGCGUAGGGGUUCUGAGAGGAAGGUCCCCCACACUGGUACUGAGACACGGACCAGACUCCUACGGGAGGCAGCAGUGAGGAAUAUUGGUCAAUGGUCGGGAGACUGAACCAGCCAAGCCGCGUGAGGGAUGAAGGUACAGAGUAUCGUAAACCUCUUUUGUCAGGGAACAAAGGCGGGGACGUGUCCCCGGAUGAGUGUACCUGAAGAAAAAGCAUCGGCUAACUCCGUGCCAGCAGCCGCGGUAAUACGGAGGAUGCGAGCGUUAUCCGGAUUUAUUGGGUUUAAAGGGUGCGCAGGCGGUCUGUCAAGUCAGCGGUCAAAGCCCGGGGCUCAACCCCGGCCCGCCGUUGAAACUGGCAGUCUCGAGUUGGAGAGAAGUAUGCGGAAUGCGCGGUGUAGCGGUGAAAUGCAUAGAUAUCGCGCAGAACUCCGAUUGCGAAGGCAGCAUGCCGGCUCCACACUGACGCUGAGGCACGAAAGCGUGGGUAUCGAACAGGAUUAGAUACCCUGGUAGUCCACGCAGUAAACGAUGAAUGCUGGCUGUCCGGGGGGGAUUGACCCCUGGGUGGCGAAGCGAAAGCGAUAAGCAUUCCACCUGGGGGGUACGCCGGCAACGGUGAAACUCAAAGGAAUUGACGGGGGCCCGCACAAGCGGAGGAACAUGUGGUUUAAUUCGAUGAUACGCGAGGAACCUUACCCGGGCUCAAACGGGGAGUGACUCAGGCAGAGACGCCUGUUUCCCACGGGACACUCCCCGAGGUGCUGCAUGGUUGUCGUCAGCUCGUGCCGUGAGGUGUCGGCUUAAGUGCCAUAACGAGCGCAACCCCCGCGUGCAGUUGCUAACAGAUAACGCUGAGGACUCUGCACGGACUGCCGGCGCAAGCCGCGAGGAAGGCGGGGAUGACGUCAAAUCAGCACGGCCCUUACGUCCGGGGCGACACACGUGUUACAAUGGGUGGUACAGCGGGAAGCCAGGCGGCGACGCCGAGCGGAACCCGAAAUCCACUCUCAGUUCGGAUCGGAGUCUGCAACCCGACUCCGUGAAGCUGGAUUCGCUAGUAAUCGCGCAUCAGCCAUGGCGCGGUGAAUACGUUCCCGGGCCUUGUACACACCGCCCGUCAAGCCAUGGGAGCCGAGGGCGCUUGAAGU